RNAcentral lists this ribosomal RNA (468 nucleotides) under uncultured bacterium. RNAcentral's name for it is "partial 16S ribosomal RNA". It matches the Rfam family "Bacterial small subunit ribosomal RNA", at positions 28 to 507 of the family's 1533-position model. The record is from RNAcentral.
GACGAACGCUGGCGGCGUGCUUAACACAUGCAAGUCGAACGGAAAGGCCCUGCUUUUGUGGGGUGCUCGAGUGGCGAACGGGUGAGUAACACGUGAGUAACCUGCCCUUGACUUUGGGAUAACUUCAGGAAACUGGGGCUAAUACCGGAUAGGAGCUCCUGCUGCAUGGUGGGGGUUGGAAAGUUUCGGCGGUUGGGGAUGGACUCGCGGCUUAUCAGCUUGUUGGUGGGGUAGUGGCUUACCAAGGCUUUGACGGGUAGCCGGCCUGAGAGGGUGACCGGCCACAUUGGGACUGAGAUACGGCCCAGACUCCUACGGGAGGCAGCAGUGGGGAAUAUUGCACAAUGGGCGGAAGCCUGAUGCAGCAACGCCGCGUGCGGGAUGACGGCCUUCGGGUUGUAACCCGCUUUCGCAUGUGACGAAGCGUGAGUGACGGUAAUGGGUGAAGAAGCACCGGCUAACUACGUG